AUGAACGCUUGCGGCGUGCCUAAUACAUGCAAGUCGAGCGAACAGACGAGGAGCUUGCUCCUCUGACGUUAGCGGCGGACGGGUGAGUAACACGUGGAUAACCUACCUAUAAGACUGGGAUAACUUCGGGAAACCGGAGCUAAUACCGGAUAAUAUAUUGAACCGCAUGGUUCAAUAGUGAAAGACGGUUUUGCUGUCACUUAUAGAUGGAUCCGCGCCGCAUUAGCUAGUUGGUAAGGUAACGGCUUACCAAGGCAACGAUGCGUAGCCGACCUGAGAGGGUGAUCGGCCACACUGGAACUGAGACACGGUCCAGACUCCUACGGGAGGCAGCAGUAGGGAAUCUUCCGCAAUGGGCGAAAGCCUGACGGAGCAACGCCGCGUGAGUGAUGAAGGUCUUCGGAUCGUAAAACUCUGUUAUUAGGGAAGAACAAAUGUGUAAGUAACUAUGCACGUCUUGACGGUACCUAAUCAGAAAGCCACGGCUAACUACGUG
RNAcentral lists this ribosomal RNA (496 nucleotides) under uncultured bacterium. Its description in RNAcentral is "partial 16S ribosomal RNA". It matches the Rfam family "Bacterial small subunit ribosomal RNA", at positions 29 to 507 of the family's 1533-position model. The record is from RNAcentral.